AAGAUUUUAAGUUAAAUAAACUAAUAGCCUUCAAAGCUUUAAUUAAAAUAAAAUAAUUUUAAAUCUUA
RNAcentral lists this transfer RNA (68 nucleotides) under Xenapatidea procincta. Its description in RNAcentral is "tRNA-Trp". Lineage: Eukaryota; Metazoa; Arthropoda; Insecta; Hymenoptera; Tenthredinidae. The record is from RNAcentral.